RNAcentral lists this long non-coding RNA (2165 nucleotides) under Oryctolagus cuniculus (rabbit). RNAcentral describes it as "lncRNA (ENSOCUG00000031156.1)". The record is from RNAcentral. Lineage: Eukaryota; Metazoa; Chordata; Mammalia; Lagomorpha; Leporidae.
GCGGGGCGCGGAGCUCAAACACAAAACGAAGUCAGCAGCCCAAGCCACCCUCAGGUGGGGUCCCUUGCUGGCCGCAGCCUCACUGGGCGGGCUGCGCGGAGAAAGCCGCUUUUGUGUGUCGAGUCUCGCGGCUGCACUGUUAGCCAAAGGCGGGCAGCAGUGCUGGGAGACGCGACCAGGAGAGCAACGCGCCUGGGUGGCGGCUCCGCACUGGGUCUGCUCUGCCCCCGCUGAGAACGCGGCUGCUGCUGCCCCCUUAGCUCCGCUCGGGUCUUCGUCCCAGCGGAGCUUCAGUUCUAGGCUGGAGCUGCCGAGGGUCGUGGCACUGAAGCAGCACCAGCCGCCGCCGCCGCCGCCGCCGCCGCCGCCGCCGCCGCCGCCGCAAGCCCUCAGCUAACUUGCCCGUUCGCCUCGCGCGCGGGAGUGAAGCCCCCGGCACGACCAACUGCCCGGCGGAAAUGACGAGGGGCCUCCUGCCACCCAAAAUAUCUCUCUGCAGCUCUCGGGUGUGAGGCGCGCGCGCCACGAGCCCCCCGCCCGCUCGCUCGCUCGCUCGCUCGCUGCCGCGCGGUCCCGCCCCCGAGACCGGCGGUCGGCGCGCGAGGCGCGUGCGCGUGCGCGUGUCUGCACGAGGCCGGAGCCCAGGGUCUGUCUGGCAGGCAGGCAGGUGCGGGCGGCUCACGGCCUCGCGUUCCCGCCCUAGGGGCCGCCCGGGGACAGAGGCGCGAGAGGAGCGCGUGCGCGGCGGCGGCUCGAGCCCAAGCCCCACCCCAAGCCAGGCCUGGAGCCUGGGGUCAGUCAGUCAGUUAGGUGAGAGCAGCUGGAGCUCGUCUCGAAGGGGCCUCCGAGGGGGCCACGGCGGCGGCAGCAGCGGCGGCGAGGCGAGCUGCCCACCAGUUGAACACUGGCGGUUGAGGCUGUCGAGGAGGAAAAUUGGCUAAUUAAGGAUGUUUGUACACAUGCAACAAAGCAGUUAUUCCCAUUGAACAGGAACUGUGUUCACAAAGAGAGGCAUGUAAGUUUAUCACUGCUUUUGACAUUUUCUUGAUUUUGAAAGGAAAUUUGGUUAUUUUGGUGAUGUAGUGAAAAUAUUUUGAAUUGUUAAUUACUCAUGGAAACUAUUUCAAACACUUCAUAGCACAAUGCAAGCUAUCUAUCAUUUACUGAUUUUUCAAGAUCAGCAUCUUCUCUGUAGAGGCUCUGUUAGAAGCAUAGCAGAUACAAAAUUGAGUAAAACAUGAUUGCUGCCUUCAAUGACUAUAAACAACAACAACAUAUGAAUAGAUAUUUUUCAUAUAAUAUAGCAAAUGGAAUGAAAGAGAUAUACAAAAGUGUUAUAGAUUUAUUUAACAGUAUAAAAUAUUAAUGUAUCCAAAAUGAAUAAGUAAGCAUCUCCCUAGAUUAGAAGAUGGCAAUAUAGUUUGAAUGUAUGCUUUAUCUCCAUUCAUUCAUUUAAGGAAACAUUUAUUAAAUGGCAUAUCAGAGACUGGGCUAAGCACCAUGAGUAAACUAGUGAGUAUAAUGGAUGUGGUUCCUGAUCCUGUAGCACUUACAAUCUAGUGGAAAGCAUAAUAUAUUUUAGUACUCAAACUAUAUACAUAUGUGUGCAUAUGCAUAUGUAUGCAGAUCCUGAAAGUAUGGGUAUUAAGCAUACAAAGUAUAGUGAUAAAGAACAAUUGGGGUUUAGGAGAUAAGAAACUCCUUAAGGUAACAAAAGAAGACUUCUCUGGGUAGGUGACUUUUAUGCAGUUUUGAGAUAUAAGAAUAUGAAAAAGCAGAAUCAGCUGAUUCAAGGAAGAGAUAAAAGACCGUGUGAAGUCUCUGAGGCAUAAAGAGUUUGAAUUGAUGGAGGAACAGAAAGAAAAUCAAUGUGGCUGAAGCAGUGAAUGGGCAAAAGUCAUAAAGAGAAGAUUGGGGCAAAAGACAAGAGUUGGAGAAAGGACAUUGUAGUCCAUGUGAUAACUAGCUUAGAGUGCAGAGAAAAGCCAUUAAGACUUGUAAGCAGGUCAUAUACAUGAUCUGAAUUAUAUUUUUAAGUUAAGGAGCUUUGCCCACUUCCAAAAAGAUUGAGUAGUCAUAUUUCCUAUUCUUCCCACUAGGUACAACUAAAACCCCUGAAGAUUAUAUAUAAAAUAAAUAUAAGAACACUCUGAAAGGAGGAGACA